CCUACGGGUGGCAGCAGUGAGGAAUAUUGGUCAAUGGUCGGGAGACUGAACCAGCCAAGCCGCGUGAGGGAUGAAGGUACAGAGUAUCGUAAACCUCUUUUGUCAGGGAACAAAGGCGGGGACGUGUCCCCGGAUGAGUGUACCUGAAGAAAAAGCAUCGGCUAACUCCGUGCCAGCAGCCGCGGUAAUACGGAGGAUGCGAGCGUUAUCCGGAUUUAUUGGGCGUAAAGGGCGCGUAGGUGGGCGUUUAAGUCAGGUGUGAAAACUCCGGGCUCAACCUGGAGACUGCACUUGAAACUGGGUGUCUUGAGGGCAGGAGAGGAAAGUGGAAUUCCUAGUGUAGCGGUGAAAUGCGUAGAUAUUAGGAGGAACACCAGUGGCGAAGGCGACUUUCUGGACUGUACCUGACGCUGAGGCGCGAAAGCGUGGGUAGCGAACGGGAUUAGAUACCCCAGUAGUC
Molecule: ribosomal RNA, 460 nt
Filed under: uncultured bacterium
Lineage: Bacteria
Description: partial 16S ribosomal RNA
Rfam family: Bacterial small subunit ribosomal RNA
Source: RNAcentral